RNAcentral lists this long non-coding RNA (201 nucleotides) under Olea europaea (common olive). RNAcentral's name for it is "long non-coding RNA (OEUR_LNC013701)". The record is from RNAcentral. Lineage: Eukaryota; Viridiplantae; Streptophyta; Magnoliopsida; Lamiales; Oleaceae.
AAGUACUUGGUGAGGAGUUUCUGAGCCAAAUUAUCCCAAGUUGUAAUUGAGCCAUACGGUAGUGAUUGGAACCAAGCCUUUGCUUUAUCCCUUAAAGAGAAUGAGAAUAGGCGGAGUCUAAUUGCAUCUUCAGUAACCCCAUUCAUCUUCAUCGUGUCACAAAUUUCCAAAAAGGAUCUAAGAUGAGCAUUUGGGUCUUCU